RNAcentral lists this ribosomal RNA (492 nucleotides) under uncultured bacterium. Its description in RNAcentral is "partial 16S ribosomal RNA". It matches the Rfam family "Bacterial small subunit ribosomal RNA", at positions 29 to 507 of the family's 1533-position model. The record is from RNAcentral.
AGUGAACGCUGGCGGUAGGCCUAACACAUGCAAGUCGAACGGCAGCACAGUAAGAGCUUGCUCUUACGGGUGGCGAGUGGCGGACGGGUGAGGAAUACAUCGGAAUCUACUUUUUCGUGGGGGAUAACGUGGGGAAACUUACGCUAAUACCGCAUACGACCUACGGGUGAAAGCAGGGGAUCUUCGGACCUUGCGCGAUUGAAUGAGCCGAUGUCGGAUUAGCUAGUUGGCGGGGUAAAGGCCCACCAAGGCGACGAUCCGUAGCUGGUCUGAGAGGAUGAUCAGCCACACUGGAACUGAGACACGGUCCAGACUCCUACAGGAGGCAGCAGUGGGGAAUAUUGGACAAUGGGCGCAAGCCUGAUCCAGCCAUACCGCGUGGGUGAAGAAGGCCUUCGGGUUGUAAAGCCCUUUUGUUGGGAAAGAAAAGCAGCAGGUUAAUACCCCGCUGUUCUGACGGUACCCAAAGAAUAAGCACCGGCUAACUUCGUG